Molecule: long non-coding RNA, 671 nt
Organism: Coffea eugenioides
Lineage: Eukaryota; Viridiplantae; Streptophyta; Magnoliopsida; Gentianales; Rubiaceae
Exons: 2
Source: RefSeq, a predicted model, not a curated record
CAAGAUAAUUACAAUGAAACAGAAGUAGUUCAGUUUUUAAAUACAUAAGCAUUAUAUUGUUGGAAAUUAAUGCUAUGCAUAAUCAUUGUGGAAGUUCAGUGAAGUUUGCUGGUCAGUUGCGAGCUGUUCCACUUCAUAGCUGGUGACAAUGGUGAAUGUCGUUCCUUUGAUUGCUUUUUCUCUUGGAGUUGCCUUUUUAACGAAGCACAUGAGUCUUUUUCCUUGGAUUGCUUGUGUUAUGUGAUGAAGUAAAAUCAUAUUCUGCUAUAGUCACAAUGAAACAUGUUAAGAAGUAAAGAGAUUUAAUAUGUCAGCAGUUUGUAGUUGCUUUUCUUUAAUACCUGAUUGUUUAUCUCGGUUAGUUCAGCAGCUUGAAUGGACAUCAAUUUUUCAGCUUCUUCUCCCAAGGCAAGUGUAUACAUUUUUCCAGUGGCAUCAAGUAUGGAAUUAUCUGUCCUUGAAUUGUUAUCUCCCUCAUUGGACGUGCAAAAACAACAAUCCCAAAUGUAUCUGCAGUGAAAGCAUUUUUAAAUUUGUGUUUGGAAGGUUAGGCAGAUGUUGAUAGUGGUAAAAGUGGAGGAGUGUUUAACAUACUCAUAUAUUUGUUUGAGUCUGCAUAAGUCUGAAUGUUGGAAAAUUGGUGCAAAUGUAGGUAUGGUGGUAUUGUUUCA